AGUGAACGCUGGCGGUAGGCCUAACACAUGCAAGUCGAACGGCAGCACAGUAAGAGCUUGCUCUUACGGGUGGCGAGUGGCGGACGGGUGAGGAAUACAUCGGAAUCUACUUUUUCGUGGGGGAUAACGUAGGGAAACUUACGCUAAUACCGCAUACGACCUACGGGUGAAAGCAGGGGAUCUUCGGACCUUGCGCGAUUGAAUGAGCCGAUGUCGGAUUAGCUAGUUGGCGGGGUAAAGGCCCACCAAGGCGACGAUCCGUAGCUGGUCUGAGAGGAUGAUCAGCCACACUGGAACUGAGACACGGUCCAGACUCCUACGGGAGGCAGGAGUGGGGAAUUUUGGACAAGGGGCGCAAGCCUGAUCCCGCCAUACCGCGUGGGUGAAGAAGGCCUUCGGGUUGUAAAGCCCUUUUGUGGGGAAAGAAAAGCAGCAGGUUAAUACCCCGCUGUUCUGACGGUACCCAAAGAAUAAGCACCGGCUAACUUCGU
RNAcentral lists this ribosomal RNA (491 nucleotides) under uncultured bacterium. RNAcentral's name for it is "partial 16S ribosomal RNA". It matches the Rfam family "Bacterial small subunit ribosomal RNA", at positions 29 to 506 of the family's 1533-position model. The record is from RNAcentral.